Molecule: ribosomal RNA, 750 nt
Filed under: Pseudomonas extremorientalis
Lineage: Bacteria; Pseudomonadati; Pseudomonadota; Gammaproteobacteria; Pseudomonadales; Pseudomonadaceae
Description: bacterial SSU rRNA
Rfam family: Bacterial small subunit ribosomal RNA
Source: RNAcentral
CAUAGGAAUGGAACCGUCAGUGGACGAAGGGUGAUCCACUUGGGAUUAAUUCUGACAGUGAGGUGCGAAAGAGUGGGGAGCAAAACAGGAUUUAGAUACCCUGGUAGUCCACGCUGUAAUACGAUGUCAACUAGUCGUUGGCAAGCCUUGAGCUAUUUAGUGGCGCAGCUAUACGCAUUUAAGUUGUCACUCCUGGGGAGUACGCACCGCAAGGUUAAAACUCAAAUGAAUUGACGGGGGCCCGCACAAGCGGUGGAGCAUGUGGUUUAAUUCGAAGCAACGCGAAGACCCUUGCCAGGUCUGGACAUCCAAUGAACUUUGCACAGAGGUAGCCGUUCCUUCGUCAGCAGUGAACCUGAUAAUUCCAGAGUGUUGUCAUAUCGUCUCUUCUGACGUCGUGAUAAGUUCCGCAAUGAGAACACCCUUUGUCCAUAGUGACCAGCACGUAAUGGUGGGUCCUCCAAGGAGCCUAUCUGUGACAAACCGGAGGAAGGUGGGGAUCACGUCAAGUUAUCAUGGCCAAUUAGGCUGUGCGUCCUCUCAGUCGCUACAUAUGGUUGGUUCAAGAGGUUGACAAACUGCGGGAGGCGGAGUUAUUCCCAUAAAACCGAUCGUAGUCGGGAUCGCAGUCUGCAACUCGACUGCGUGAAGUCGGAAUCGCUAGUAAUCGCGAAUCAGAAUGUCGCGGUGAAUACGUUCCCGGGCCUUGUACACACCGCCCGUCACACCAUGGGAGUGGGUUGCACCCAG